AACUUCUGAAUGUUGACCUCGGAUCAGGUAGGAAUACCCGCUGAACUUAAGCAUAUCAGUAAGCGGAGGAA
Molecule: ribosomal RNA, 71 nt
Filed under: Fusarium tricinctum
Lineage: Eukaryota; Fungi; Ascomycota; Sordariomycetes; Hypocreales; Nectriaceae
Description: partial 28S ribosomal RNA
Rfam family: Eukaryotic large subunit ribosomal RNA (bases 14-71)
Source: RNAcentral